UCCCUGGUCGCUCAGAUGGUAAAGCAUCUGCCUGCAAUGCAGGAGACCCAGGUUCGAUCCCUGGGUGGGGAA
This 72-nucleotide transfer RNA is filed under the name Ovis aries (sheep). It matches the Rfam family "tRNA". Rfam says of the family: Transfer RNA (tRNA) molecules are approximately 80 nucleotides in length. Their secondary structure includes four short double-helical elements and three loops (D, anti-codon, and T loops). Further hydrogen bonds mediate the characteristic L-shaped molecular structure. tRNAs have two regions of fundamental functional importance: the anti-codon, which is responsible for specific mRNA codon recognition, and the 3' end, to which the tRNAs corresponding amino acid is attached (by aminoacyl-tRNA synthetases). tRNAs cope with the degeneracy of the genetic code in two manners: having more than one tRNA (with a specific anti-codon) for a particular amino acid; and 'wobble' base-pairing, i.e. permitting non-standard base-pairing at the 3rd anti-codon position. The record is from Rfam by way of RNAcentral. Lineage: Eukaryota; Metazoa; Chordata; Mammalia; Artiodactyla; Bovidae.